This 275-nucleotide long non-coding RNA is filed under the name Lathyrus oleraceus (garden pea). RNAcentral's name for it is "Pisum sativum (pea) long non-coding RNA (PSAT_LNC035625)". The record is from RNAcentral. Lineage: Eukaryota; Viridiplantae; Streptophyta; Magnoliopsida; Fabales; Fabaceae.
UCGACCAGCUUUGUACCUCCAUUUCCACUUAUGCACAAACUUGGCAUUUUUGCAUAUUGGUUUCAAAGAGUAAAACAAAGAUAGCAUUUCACAAGCAGACCACAAACAGCAAUUGGCAAGGUCAUGUACAGCCUGUCCAGGCCCAAUUCGGGUACAGCUUGCACCCUCCACUUCAUUUGAACAAAAACUUAGCAAAAUGCAAAUCAUUCCAUUAGAGCUAAACCAACUUACCAUUUCUAAAACCAACUUAAAACAGACAAUAUAAAGGGGAUUUU